Vicia villosa (hairy vetch) is the source of this 716-nucleotide long non-coding RNA. RefSeq lists it as uncharacterized. The record is from RefSeq and is a predicted model, not a curated record. The transcript is spliced from 3 exons. NCBI's taxonomy places the organism in Eukaryota, Viridiplantae, Streptophyta, Magnoliopsida, Fabales, Fabaceae.
GAUAUCCCAACCCGAACCCCAAGCUGCAAACAUUCGAUAUUAUCAGAAAUCGAAGCACACGCGAGUUGCAUUAUGCUUCGGUCUUCAACAAAGAAGAAGAAUCACCAUGAAAUUUUGAAGAGAAUUUUGAAGAGAAUUUUGAAGAGAAUUUUGAAGAACAACAAGCAUUCUGCUCUACCAAAAUCCAGUCUCCAUAACAAUCCGGUGAAAUUUAGCGUAUGAGCGCUUUCACGAUUGUGUUCGGGUCAUCCGUGGAUUUCAAUUGGAAAAUCGAAAUACGGACAAAAACCGAAACCUCGACGUUAUGGAGUUCUGGCUUGAAGCUAGCGUCUCUAUAAGCUUUCAUCGGUGGUUAAAGCAAAUGCUUAAGCAGGGCAUCAGAAAGAAACAAAAAUCAACAGCAUAAGGACUAAACGAAGUUACAUAUUUUAUAUUAGGGAAGCAGUAAAGUUUUUCAGGGCUAUUUCAUGGAAGGUGAUGCAAGGAUGUUGAAAGCGUUGGUUAGAAGUUUGACAAUCGAAGAAUACUCGAAGACUAUCACAAAAGCUAUAUAAAAAAAUAAUGAUUGGAAUCAAAUUUAUGUAACUUGUAGUUUUUGGUUUAGGCUUUUAGGACUUUGCAUUUGAAAGAUAAAUAUUCUCUGUAAUUUAAAGAAAUUCUCUAGUAAAUUCACUUCCAACACUAAAGAAACAUCCUUAUGAAUUUCGUCCUUUGAA